Molecule: long non-coding RNA, 2545 nt
Organism: Lonchura striata (white-rumped munia)
Lineage: Eukaryota; Metazoa; Chordata; Aves; Passeriformes; Estrildidae
Source: Ensembl
UGCAAAUCAGGGCGCAGGGCGCGCGAAACAGGGAGUGGCAUGCAAAUCAGGGCGCGCGGCGCGCCAAUCAGGGAGCGGCAUGCAAAUCAGGGCGCGGGGCGCGCGAAACAGGGAGCGGCAUGCAAAUCAGGGCGCGCGGCGCGCCAAUCAGGGAGCGGCAUGCAAAUCAGGGCGCGCGGCGCGCCAAUCAGGGGGUGGCAUGCAAAUCACGGCGCGCGGCGCGCCAGUCAGGGGGCGGCAUGCAAAUCAGGGCGCAGGGCGCGCCAAUCAGAGGGCGGCAUGCAGAUCAGGGGGCGGGGCGCGCGAAACAGGGAGGGGCAUGCAAAUCAGGGCGCGGAACGCGCCAAUCAGGGGGCGGCAUGCAAAUCAGGGCGCGGGGCGCGCGAAACAGGGAGUGGCAUGCAAAUCAAGGCGCGCGGCGCGCCAAUCAGGGGGCGGAAUGCAAAUCCGGGCGCGCGGCGCGCCAGUCAGGAGGCGGGGCAUGCAAAUCAGGGCGCGCGGCGCGCCAGUCAGGGGGCGGCAUGCAAAUCAGAGCGCAGGGCGCGCGAAACAGGGAAGGACAUGCAAAUCAGGGCGCGCGGCGCGCCAAUCAGGGAGCGGCAUGCAAAUCAGGGCGCGCGGCGCGCCAGUCAGGGGGCGGCAUGCAAAUCAGGGCGCGGGGCGCGCGAAACAGGGAGCGGCAUGCAAAUAAGGGCGCAGGGCGCGCCAAUCAGGGAGCGGCAUGCAAAUCAGGGCGCAGGGCGCGCCAAUCAGGGGGCGGCAUGCAAAUCAGGGCGCGGGGCGCGCGAAACAGUGAGCACCAUGCAAAUCAGGGCGCGCGGAGCGCCAAUCAGGGGGCGGCAUGCAGAUCAGGGCUCGCGGCGCGCCAAUCAUGGGGCGUCAUGCAAAUCAGGGCGCAGGGCGCGCGAAACAGGGAGCGGCAUGCAAAUCAGGGCGCGCGGCGCGCCAAUCAGGGAGCGGCAUGCAAAUCAGGGCGCAGGGCGCGCCAGUCACGGGGCGGCAAGCAAAUCAGGGCGCGGGGCGCGCCAAUCAGGGAGCGGCAUGCAAAUCAGGGCGCGCGGCGCGCCAAUCAUGGGGCGGCAUGCAGAUCAGGGGGCGGGGCGCGCGAAACAGGGAGCGGCAUGCAAAUCAGGGCGCGGGACACGCCAAUCAGGGGGCGGAAUGCAAAUCAGGGCGCGGGGCGCGCGAAACAGGGGGCGGCAUGCAGAUCAGGGCUCGCGGCGCGCCAAUCAUGGGGCGGAAUGCAAAUCAGGGCGCGGGACGCGCCAAUCAGGGGGCGGCAUGCAAAUCAGGACGCGCGUCGCGCCAGUCAGGGGGCGGCAUGCAAAUAAGGGGCGGUAUGCAAAUCAAGGAGCGGCACGGAAAUCAAGCCGCGGGGUGCACCAAUCAGGGGGCGGCAUGCAGAUCAGGGGGGGACACGCGAAUCAGGGAGCGGAAUGCAAAUCAGGGCGCGGGGCGCGCGAAACAGGGAGCGGCAUGCAAAUCAAGGCGCGCGGCGCGCCAAUCAGGGAGUGGCAUGCAAAUAAGGGGGCGGUAUGCAAAUAAGGGAGCGGGACAAGCGAAUCAGGGAGCGGCAUGCAGAUCGGAGGGGGUGCGCCAAUCAGGGGGCGGCAUGCAGAUCAGGAAGGGAAACGCGAAUCAGGGAACGGUAUGCAAAUUAGGGCGCGGGGCGCCAAUCAGGGAGCGGCAUGCAAAUCAGGGAGCGGGGCGCGCGAAACAGGGAGCGGUAUGCAAAUCAGGGCGCGCGAAUCAGGGAGCGGCAUGCAAAAUCUUGGGGCCAAUCCCCAAAUUGGGUGAUUUUUGGAUAAUUUGGGGGGUUUUUUUUGGGGUGAUUUUGGGGUGAUUUUGGGUGUGAUUUCGGGGUGCUUUUGGGUAUUUUUUGGAAUGAUUUUGGGGUGAUUUGGGGGGUUCUUUUUGGGGUGAUUUUUGGGCUGAUUUGGGGUUUUUUUGGGGGUAUUUUUGGGUGUGAUUUUGGGGUUUUUUGGGGUGAUUUUGGGGGUUUUUUUGGGAUGAUUUGAAGGGUUUUUUGGGUCGAUUUUGGGUUUUUUUGGGGUGAUUUGUGGGUUUUUGGGGUCCCUCACCUCCAGCGUGUCACGGUCGGGGCCGGGGGGGAGGGGCCAGCAGGGGGCGCCCAUCCCCCCCCCGGGGCUCAGCAGCCAAUCCAGGAGCGGGAAACAGCCCUGGGGGCGGGGCCGGAAAAGGGGCGGGGUCAGGAAAGGGGCGGGGCCAAUCAGGGGGGAGAUGACAGAAAUGGGGGAGGGGCUAAAACUGGGGGCGGGGUCACCCCAGGACCCCCAAAAAUGCCUCAGAGCCCUCCCAGUAACUCCCAGUAACUCCCAGUAAGUCCCAGUUGCCCCUCCCAGUGCUCCCAGUGCUCCCAGUUACCCUUUCCAUUGCUCCCAGUCCAAACCGGUUUAUCCCGGUCCCUCCCAGUUCCUCCCAGUAACUCCCAGUGCCCCCCAGUCUGUCCCAGCCCCAUUUCCAGUGCUCCCAGUAGCUCCCAGUCCCACCCAGUUCCCCAUCCCAGUCCAUCCCAGUUUAUUCC